GCGCAGCCUGAGCAGCCAUGCCGCGUGUGUGAAGAAGGCCUUCGGGUUGUAAAGCACUUUCAGUCGUGAGGAAGGUAGUGUAGUUAAUAGCUGCAUUAUUUGACGUUAGCGACAGAAGAAGCACCGGCUAACUCCGUGCCAGCAGCCGCGGUAAUACGGAGGGUGCGAGCGUUAAUCGGAAUUACUGGGCGUAAAGCGCAUGCAGGUGGUUUGUUAAGUCAGAUGUGAAAGCCCGGGGCUCAACCUCGGAAUAGCAUUUGAAACUGGCAGACUAGAGUACUGUAGAGGGGGGUAGAAUUUCAGGUGUAGCGGUGAAAUGCGUAGAGAUCUGAAGGAAUACCGGUGGCGAAGGCGGCCCCCUGGACAGAUACUGACACUCAGAUGCGAAAGCGUGGGGAGCAAACAGGAUUAGAUACCCUGGUAGUCCACGCCGUAAACGAUGUCUACUUGGAGGUUGUGGCCUUGAGCCGUGGCUUUCGGAGCUAACGCGUUAAGUAGACCGCCUGGGGAGUACGGUCGCAAGAUUAAAACUCAAAUGAAUUGACGGGGGCCCGCACAAGCGGUGGAGCAUGUGGUUUAAUUCGAUGCAACGCGAAGAACCUUACCUACUCUUGACAUCCAGAGAACUUUCCAGAGAUGGAUUGGUGCCUUCGGGAACUCUGAGACAGGUGCUGCAUGGCUGUCGUCAGCUCGUGUUGUGAAAUGUUGGGUUAAGUCCCGCAACGAGCGCAACCCUUAUCCUUGUUUGCCAGCGAGUAAUGUCGGGAACUCCAGGGAGACUGCCGGUGAUAAACCGGAGGAAGGUGGGGACGACGUCAAGUCAUCAUGGCCCUUACGAGUAGGGCUACACACGUGCUACAAUGGCGCAUACAGAGGGCAGCAAGCUAGCGAUAGUGAGCGAAUCCCAAAAAGUGCGUCGUAGUCCGGAUUGGAGUCUGCAACUCGACUCCAUGAAGUCGGAAUCGCUAGUAAUCGUGGAUCAGAAUGCCACGGUGAAUACGUUCCCGGGCCUUGUACACACCGCCCGUCACACCAUGGGGAGUGGGCUGCAAAAGAAGUAGGUAGUUUAACCUUCCGGGAGGACGCUUACCACUUUGUGGUUCAUGACUGGGGUGAUCGU
RNAcentral lists this ribosomal RNA (1120 nucleotides) under Vibrio sp. 833M. Its description in RNAcentral is "bacterial SSU rRNA". It matches the Rfam family "Bacterial small subunit ribosomal RNA", at positions 375 to 1489 of the family's 1533-position model. Lineage: Bacteria; Pseudomonadati; Pseudomonadota; Gammaproteobacteria; Vibrionales; Vibrionaceae. The record is from RNAcentral.